Molecule: ribosomal RNA, 648 nt
Filed under: uncultured bacterium
Lineage: Bacteria
Description: bacterial SSU rRNA
Rfam family: Bacterial small subunit ribosomal RNA
Source: RNAcentral
GGGCUUCGGCCUGGUGGCGAGUGGCGAACGGGUGAGUAAUGCGUCGGAACGUGCCGAGUAAUGGGGGAUAACGCAUCGAAAGGUGUGCUAAUACCGCAUACGCUCUGAGGAGGAAAGCGGGGGACCUUCGGGCCUCGCGUUAUUCGAGCGGCCGACGUCUGAUUAGCUAGUUGGUGGGGUAAAGGCUCACCAAGGCGACGAUCAGUAGCGGGUCUGAGAGGAUGAUCCGCCACACUGGGACUGAGACACGGCCCAGACUCCUACGGGAGGCAGCAGUGGGGAAUUUUGGACAAUGGGCGAAAGCCUGAUCCAGCCAUGCCGCGUGAGUGAAGAAGGCCUUCGGGUUGUAAAGCUCUUUUGUCCGGGAGGAAAUCCCGCAACCUAAUACGUUGCGGGGAUGACAGUACUGGAAGAAUAAGCACCGGCUAACUACGUGCCAGCAGCCGCGGUAAUACGUAGGGUGCAAGCGUUAAUCGGAAUUACUGGGCGUAAAGCGUGCGCAGGCGGUUUGAUAAGUCAGAUGUGAAAUCCCCGGGCUUAACCUGGGAACUGCGUUUGAAACUGUCAGGCUAGAGUACGUCAGAGGGGGGUGGAAUUCCACGUGUAGCAGUGAAAUGCGUAGAGAUGUGGAGGAACACCGAUGGCGAA